RNAcentral lists this unclassified non-coding RNA (375 nucleotides) under uncultured Actinomycetes bacterium. RNAcentral's name for it is "uncultured actinobacterium contains 16S-23S intergenic spacer region". Lineage: Bacteria; Bacillati; Actinomycetota; Actinomycetes. The record is from RNAcentral.
UCUCGGCUUAUCACCGGCAGUCCCCCUAGAGUGCCCAACUGAAUGAUGGCAACUAGGGGCGAGGGUUGCGCUCGUUGCGGGACUUAACCCAACAUCUCACGACACGAGCUGACGACAGCCAUGCACCACCUGUCACCGACCCCGAAGGACCCCACAUCUCUGCGAGUUUUCCGGCGAUGUCAAACCCAGGUAAGGUUCUUCGCGUUGCAUCGAAUUAAUCCGCAUGCUCCGCCGCCUGUGCGGGUCCCCGUCAAUUCCUUUGAGUUUUAGCCUUGCGGCCGUACUCCCCAGGCGGGGCACUUAAUGCGUUAGCUGCGGCACGGAAGGAGUCGACACCUCCCACACCUAGUGCCCAUCGUUUACGGCGUGGACUAC